GAUAACAGGCUGAUGACUCCCAAGAGCUCUUAUCGAUGGAGUCGUUUGGCACCUCGAUCGACUCAUCACAUCUUGGGGUUGAAGAAGGUCCCAAGGGUUCGGUUGUUCACCGAUUCAAGUGGUACGUGAGUUGGGUUUAGAACGUCGUGAGACAGUUC
Non-coding RNA from Gossypium raimondii (Peruvian cotton), 158 nucleotides. The record is from Rfam. NCBI's taxonomy places the organism in Eukaryota, Viridiplantae, Streptophyta, Magnoliopsida, Malvales, Malvaceae.